Molecule: ribosomal RNA, 403 nt
Filed under: uncultured bacterium
Lineage: Bacteria
Description: bacterial SSU rRNA
Rfam family: Bacterial small subunit ribosomal RNA
Source: RNAcentral
UGGGGAAUAUUGGGCAAUGGGGGAAACCCUGACCCAGCAACGCCGCGUGAAGGAAGAAGGUUUUCGGAUCGUAAACUUCUAUCCUUGGUGAAGAGAAGAAGACGGUAGCCAAGAAGGAAGCCCCGGCUAACUACGUGCCAGCAGCCGCGGUAAUACGUAGGGGGCAAGCGUUGUCCGGAAUGAUUGGGCGUAAAGGGCGCGUAGGCGGCCUGGUAAGUUUGGAGUGAAAGUCCUAUUUUUAAGGUGGGAAUUGCUUUGAAACGGUCAUGCUUGAAUCAUGGAGAGGGUAGCGGAAUUCCGAGUGUAGAGGUGAAAUUCGUAGAUAUUCGGAAGAACACCGGUGGCGAAGGCGGCUACCUGGCCAUGUAUUGACGCUCAGGUGCGAAAGCGUGGGGAGCAAACA